UGAGGAAUAUUGGUCAAUGGGCGAGAGCCUGAACCAGCCAAGUCGCGUGAAGGAAGACUGCCUUAUGGGUUGUAAACUUCUUUUAUACAGGAAUAAAAAGGCUUACGUGUAGGCCAUUGCAAGUACUGUAUGAAUAAGCAUCGGCUAACUCCGUGCCAGCAGCCGCGGUAAUACGGAGGAUGCGAGCGUUAUCCGGAUUUAUUGGGUUUAAAGGGUGCGCAGGCGGGCUUUUAAGUCAGCGGUGAAAUCUGGACGCUUAACGUCCAAACUGCCGUUGAAACUGGGAGUCUUGAGUAUGGAUGAAGUAGGCGGAAUUCGUUGUGUAGCGGUGACAUGCAUAGAUAUAACGAGGAACUCCGAUUGCGUAGGCAGCUUACUAAGCCAUAACUGACGCUCAUGCACGAAAGCGUGGGGAUCAAACAGGAUUAGAUACCCUGGUAGUCCACGCCGUAAACGAUGAUUACUAGUUGUAUGCGAUAUGAUAGUAUGUGACUAAGCGAAAGCGAUAAGUAAUCCACCUGGGGAGUACGCCGGCAACGGUG
This 542-nucleotide ribosomal RNA is filed under the name uncultured bacterium. RNAcentral describes it as "bacterial SSU rRNA". It matches the Rfam family "Bacterial small subunit ribosomal RNA", at positions 355 to 896 of the family's 1533-position model. The record is from RNAcentral.